RNAcentral lists this ribosomal RNA (497 nucleotides) under uncultured bacterium. RNAcentral's name for it is "partial 16S ribosomal RNA". It matches the Rfam family "Bacterial small subunit ribosomal RNA", at positions 28 to 507 of the family's 1533-position model. The record is from RNAcentral.
GAUGAACGCUGGCGGCGUGCCUAAUACAUGCAAGUCGAGCGAACAGACGAGGAGCUUGCUCCUCUGACGUUAGCGGCGGACGGGUGAGUAACACGUGGAUAACCUACCUAUAAGACUGGGAUAACUUCGGGAAACCGGAGCUAAUACCGGAUAAUAUAUUGAACCGCAUGGUUCAAUAGUGAAAGACGGUUUUGCUGUCACUUAUAGAUGGAUCUGCGCCGCAUUAGCUAGUUGGUAAGGUAACGGCUUACCAAGGCGACGAUGCGUAGCCGACCUGAGAGGGUGAUCGGCCACACUGGAACGGAGACACGGUCCAGACUCCUACGGGAGGCAGCAGUAGGGAAUCUUCCGCAAUGGGCGAAAGCCUGACGGAGCAACGCCGCGUGAGUGAUGAAGGUCUUCGGAUCGUAAAACUCUGUUAUUAGGGAAGAACAAAUGUGUAAGUAACUAUGCACGUCUUGACGGUACCUAAUCAGAAAGCCACGGCUAACUACGUG